AAGUCGUAACAAGGUUUCCGUAGGUGAACCUGCGGAAGGAUCAUUUCCGAGAUUGUGCCUUCUUUUUCUUUUUUCCUUUUUUAUUCCUUGCGGGAUGAAAAAACCAGGAAAAAGAGAGGGGGGUAUAUCAAAGAGAGAAUGUGGUACAUAUGCGCGAUUCCCUUUUCUUUGCUUCAAAGAAAAGAGUUUCAUUUUCUAAACAAAUAAAAAAAACCAAGGUUACUAUUAUGUACAUUCAAAAAACAAACAUAUAUAAACAAAAUACAACUGUCAACGGUGGAUCUCUUGGCUCGU
RNAcentral lists this unclassified non-coding RNA (294 nucleotides) under fungal sp. RNAcentral describes it as "partial internal transcribed spacer region". The stretch from base 1 to 46 matches the Rfam family "Eukaryotic small subunit ribosomal RNA", at positions 1786 to 1831 of the family's 1831-position model. The record is from RNAcentral. Lineage: Eukaryota; Fungi.